Molecule: ribosomal RNA, 386 nt
Filed under: Babesia bigemina
Lineage: Eukaryota; Apicomplexa; Aconoidasida; Piroplasmida; Babesiidae
Description: SSU rRNA
Rfam family: Eukaryotic small subunit ribosomal RNA
Source: RNAcentral
GACAAGAAAUAACAAUACGGGGCUUAUGUCUUGUAAUUGGAAUGAUGCCGACUUACACCCUCGGCAGAGUACCAAUUGGAAGGCAAGUCUGGUGCCAGCAGCCGCGGUAAUUCCAGCUCCAAUAGCGUAUAUUAAACUUGUUGCAGUUAAAAAGCUCGUAGUUGUAUUUCAGCCUCGCGUUUUUUCCCUCUUUUCGGGUCUUUUCGCUGGCUUUCUUUUUACUUUGAGAAAAUUAGAGUGUUUCAAGCAGACUUUUGUCUUGAAUACUUCAGCAUGGAAUAAUAGAGUAGGACCUUGGUUCUAUUUUGUUGGUUUCGAGCCUUGGUAAUGGUUAAUAGGAACGGUUGGGGGCAUUCGUAUUUAACUGUCAGAGGUGAAAUUCUUAG